AGAGACUCUGCGAGCCGCCGCCAUGACCAGCAGCAUGUGAAGACGCCGAGACUCCCAGAUCCUAGCAGUGACCCAAGGUCUCCGAAGAAGAUGUCUCCAUCUGGAUAAUGGCAACACUGACCUCUGGGCAAGAUGCCCCAUUUUGUGACACCUGCCACCAGGACCCGGCCCAGACUGUGGACAAACAGCAGGACGUCGGGGAAUUGAUUGCACUCCUUUUGCCUAGACAAAAUCUGACAGUGUUUGAUGACUAAGAUGUAUCAGUUUAACAGCCCCAUCCCAAGACUACAAGCACCUUGAUAGCUCAUUAAUGAGUUUCCUGUUAAAAAUACAGACAGGUAUGCCUCAUUCACAAACUUCAUGGUACAGGUUUUAGAUAUAACUCUGGAAGUUCAAAGUUUUAAAUUCAGUUUUGAUAAACUAAUACAACAUUGACUACAAAGAGUUCUUAAGAGUCCUUACAUUUCUAUGGCUUUUUAACUCUUUUGCUGUGAUGUAAAUCUAUUCCAGCUGUCUUACAGAUACCUGCAGGUUCCUGGGAGAAGUUCUGCUACUGUAUCAAAAAAUCUGGUCUGAUAAAAAGCUAACACUCUCCAGAGCCCAUUUCUGACCCCACGUAUUUUUUGAGCACAUUUUGCAGAUUCAAUCUUCCCGCCUGACCUCCAGAGAAACAGCCGAUGCCAUGGCUUCUGUACUCCUGAUUUGGUAUGCCAUUCCCCCAAGCUCCUGGACCAUCACUGCUGCAACCUGCCUCCUCAGCUCCCUCAAGGAACAGACGCCUGGGUCCCGCCGCCAUGUGUGACUCCCGUUUCCCCCUCCCCACUUUGCCCCUUGUCAGCUUGAAGCAGUCUCGGGAAUUCAGCGUUCUUGUUCCCCCACUUGCUACCCAUAACUCACCUUUUUAUAAUAAUCAAAACAGAGGAAUGUCAGUAUUCUGACCCACCCCUUGGAAACGCGCCCCUUGGGGCUGCCCUGCAUCCUGAUGUAAAAGCCUCACUAUGAGGAAAAACCCGCUUUUCUUUCUCUCUCUUCUCUGCCCCCCUCUCCAUUCCCACUAGGUGUGCACACCUCCGCUUUCCCUCCAUUCUCUUUCUUCCUGUCUCCCU
Peromyscus maniculatus bairdii (prairie deer mouse) is the source of this 1106-nucleotide non-coding RNA. Lineage: Eukaryota; Metazoa; Chordata; Mammalia; Rodentia; Cricetidae. The record is from RefSeq and is a predicted model, not a curated record.